RNAcentral lists this ribosomal RNA (187 nucleotides) under uncultured bacterium. Its description in RNAcentral is "partial 16S ribosomal RNA". It matches the Rfam family "Bacterial small subunit ribosomal RNA", at positions 1314 to 1500 of the family's 1533-position model. The record is from RNAcentral.
GCCUACAUGAAGCUGGAAUUGCUAGUAAUCGCGAAUCAGAAUGUCGCGGUGAAUACGUUCCCGGGCCUUGUACACACCGCCCGUCACACCAUGAGAGUCGAUAACACCCGAAGCCUGUGAGCUAACCGCAAGGAGGCAGCAGUCGAAGGUGGGGUUGAUGAUUGGGGUGAAGUCGUAACAAGGUAUC